This 305-nucleotide ribosomal RNA is filed under the name uncultured bacterium. RNAcentral describes it as "partial 16S ribosomal RNA". It matches the Rfam family "Bacterial small subunit ribosomal RNA", at positions 508 to 808 of the family's 1533-position model. The record is from RNAcentral.
ACAGCAGCGCCGCGGUAAUACGUAGGGUGCAAGCGUUAAUCGGAAUUACUGGGCGUAAAGCGUGCGCAGGCGGUUAUAUAAGACAGAUGUGAAAUCCCCGGGCUCAACCUGGGAACUGCAUUUGUGACUGUAUAGCUAGAGUACGGCAGAGGGGGAUGGAAUUCCGCGUGUAGCAGUGAAAUGCGUAGAUAUGCGGAGGAACACCGAUGGCGAAGGCAAUCCCCUGGGCCUGUACUGACGCUCAUGCACGAAAGCGUGGGGAGCAAACAGGAUUAGAUACCCCAGUAGUCCCUGUCUCUUAUACA